Non-coding RNA from Myotis brandtii (Brandt's bat), 75 nucleotides. The record is from Rfam. NCBI's taxonomy places the organism in Eukaryota, Metazoa, Chordata, Mammalia, Chiroptera, Vespertilionidae.
GGUGGUUCUCGGGUGACACACCCUGGAAUCGGGCUCCCUCCUCUCUGGUUCCGGGUGUGUCACCCAAGAACCGCA